UUGUACCUCAACUGCAGAAAAAGU
This 24-nucleotide non-coding RNA is filed under the name Arabidopsis thaliana (thale cress). Lineage: Eukaryota; Viridiplantae; Streptophyta; Magnoliopsida; Brassicales; Brassicaceae. The record is from RNAcentral.